RNAcentral lists this ribosomal RNA (372 nucleotides) under uncultured organism. Its description in RNAcentral is "bacterial SSU rRNA". It matches the Rfam family "Bacterial small subunit ribosomal RNA", at positions 526 to 896 of the family's 1533-position model. The record is from RNAcentral.
CGUAGGGAGCAAGCGUUGUCCGGAAUCAUUGGGCGUAAAGCGCGCGUAGGCGGCCUUGUAAGUCCGUUGUGAAAGUCAAAGGCUCAACCUUUGAAAGCCGAUGGAUACUGUGAGGCUAGAGUCCGGAAGAGGCGAGUGGAAUUCCUGGUGUAGCGGUGGAAUGCGCAGAUAUCAGGAGGAACACCAAUAGCGAAGGCAGCUCGCUGGGACGGUACUGACGCUAAGGCGCGAAAGCGUGGGGAGCGAACAGGAUUAGAUACCCUGGUAGUCCACGCCGUAAACGAUGGGCACUAGGUGUGGGAGGUGUCGACUCCUCCCGUGCCGUCGCUAACGCACUAAGUGCCCCGCCUGGGGAGUACGGCCGCAAGGCUA